UGACGGCCACGUGGACACUCUGGCUGAUGGAGAGCUGGGGCUGGAUGAGAACGCUGCACAGGUUGGAGAGCAGACUUUGGAGGCCCCUAGAACAGCAGGAGCCAUGGAGUUGAUAGAAACCUAGGGGCUCCUGGCGAUUCCAGAAGGCUGAAAGGAGGGAAGCUGCUCUCUGGAGGGUAGAGCCCCCUCUUUGCUCUCAGGGAGAUGUGAGGGCAAGUUUGGUGGGGAGAAGGUGUCUGGCAACAGGAGGGGAGCUGAGAGUUUGUGGGCAAGUGUGAAUUGGACAGACCCCACUCCAACUUUUAGGGCAAGGGAAUCAAGCAGGUCCAGCAGCUUCCCAAUGGCCUUCCAGCUUCAGCCCCUGCCCCUCCUCCAUCUGUUCCCAACAUGCAGCCAGAGCAAUGCCUUAAAACCCAAGUCGUAUUAUGCAGCUCUUUUGCUCAAAACCCUCCAGUGGUCUCCCACUUCGUUCAGUGUGAAAGCAGUGGCAGUCACAAAAUAAACUCUUCAUAAGUGUUUCCAGAAUGGAUGAAUGAAUGAAAUUUCCCAAAACUCCAAGGUAGCUUUAUUCCCAUUUCACUCAUGAGGAAAUAGCAACUCAGAAAAGUCUGAUCUCAGUGCUAAACUUACCUCCUUCAGGAAGCCUUCCCAGAUUAACCUACUCCCAUUUUUGAAUAUUUCUAAAUGCAGCUGGCAUAACUCUUACCACUACUUAUCACUGUUUCUACUAUAUCCAAUUAGGUCUUUAAAAAGUUAUUUUGAGCAUUCAAAGUCAAGAUUAAACUGUAUGGAGGUUUCUUGAAAAAUUAAAAAUGGAAUUACCAUAUGAUCCAGCAAUUCCUCUUCUGGGCACAUACUCAAAAAAAUUGAAAGCAGAGCCUUGAAAAAGGUAUUUCCUCACCCAUGUUCAUAGUAGCAUUAUUUACAAUAGACAAGAUAU
This is a long non-coding RNA of Phyllostomus discolor (pale spear-nosed bat), 940 nucleotides long. RefSeq lists it as uncharacterized. The record is from RefSeq and is a predicted model, not a curated record. The transcript is spliced from 3 exons. Lineage: Eukaryota; Metazoa; Chordata; Mammalia; Chiroptera; Phyllostomidae.